UGUUGUCAGCAUGUAUUGUUAGUUUGUAGAUUAUGAAUUUGGAGCUUAAAAUUAGGGCUGGCAAACGAGCAAGCCGACUCGCGUUCGACUCGUGUUCGGCUCGAUAUUCGGCUCGCUCGAGCUCGACUCGAAAUUAAAUGAGCCGAGCUUGAACAAAAUAAAAGGCUCGAAAUUCAUUUCAAGCCGAGGUUGAGUAUUACUCGGCUCGUUCGAAUUAGGCUCGAAAAGCUCGAAAAGCUCGAAUAUAUAUAUAUAUAUAUAUAGGCCGGGGCUACUAUACUCUUAUGAGUAUAGACCCCCUUGUACUCAUAAAUUGUUAACUGUUGAUUGAUGGGAUGUGUGGUUAGGAUGAUGGUAGUCCCCACUUAGAAUGAUAGUGGUCCCCUAGGGUUGAGUGGAUAGUUGGUUAAAUAGUAUGAUCUAACGGAUGAAAAUGAUUAAUAGAAUAAAUUUAAGGGUCGAAAACUUAUGAGUAUAAAGGAGCCAAUACUCAUAAAAGUAUAGUAGCCGGACUCUAUGUAUAUAUAUAUA
This 531-nucleotide long non-coding RNA is filed under the name Ananas comosus (pineapple). Its description in RNAcentral is "long non-coding RNA (ACOM_LNC015198)". Lineage: Eukaryota; Viridiplantae; Streptophyta; Magnoliopsida; Poales; Bromeliaceae. The record is from RNAcentral.